CCUACGGGAGGCAGCAGUAGGGAAUCUUCCGCAAUGGACGAAAGUCUGACGGAGCAACGCCGCGUGAACGAUGAAGGCCUUCGGGUCGUAAAGUUCUGUUGUUAGGGAAGAACAAGUGCUAGUUGAAUAAGCUGGCACCUUGACGGUACCUAACCAGAAAGCCACGGCUAACUACGUGCCAGCAGCCGCGGUAAUACGUAGGUGGCAAGCGUUGUCCGGAAUUAUUGGGCGUAAAGCGCGCGCAGGCGGUUUCUUAAGUCUGAUGUGAAAGCCCCCGGCUCAACCGGGGAGGGUCAUUGGAAACUGGGAAACUUGAGUGCAGAAGAGGAAAGUGGAAUUCCAAGUGUAGCGGUGAAAUGCGUAGAGAUUUGGAGGAACACCAGUGGCGAAGGCGACUUUCUGGUCUGUAACUGACGCUGAGGCGCGAAAGCGUGGGGAGCAAACAGGAUUAGAUACCCUGGUAGUCCACGCUGUAAACGAUGAGUGCUAAGUGUUAGAGGGUUUCCGCCCUUUAGUGCUGAAGUUAACGCAUUAAGCACUCCGCCUGGGGAUACGGUCGCAAGACUGAAAACUCAAAAUGAAAUUGACGG
This 590-nucleotide ribosomal RNA is filed under the name uncultured bacterium. Its description in RNAcentral is "bacterial SSU rRNA". It matches the Rfam family "Bacterial small subunit ribosomal RNA", at positions 338 to 916 of the family's 1533-position model. The record is from RNAcentral.